Molecule: ribosomal RNA, 1132 nt
Filed under: Flavobacterium beibuense
Lineage: Bacteria; Pseudomonadati; Bacteroidota; Flavobacteriia; Flavobacteriales; Flavobacteriaceae
Description: bacterial SSU rRNA
Rfam family: Bacterial small subunit ribosomal RNA
Source: RNAcentral
UAAAGAAUUUCGGUACAAGAUGAGCAUGCGUCCCAUUAGCUAGUUGGUAUGGUAACGGCAUACCAAGGCUUUGAUGGGUAGGGGUCCUGAGAGGGAGAUCCCCCCACACUGGUACUGAGACACGGACCAGACUCCUACGGGAGGCAGCAGUGAGGAAUAUUGGUCAAUGGACGCAAGUCUGAACCAGCCAUGCCGCGUGCAGGAUGACGGUCCUAUGGAUUGUAAACUGCUUUUGUACGGGAAGAAACGACUCUACGUGUAGGGUUUUGACGGUACCGUAAGAAUAAGGAUCGGCUAACUCCGUGCCAGCAGCCGCGGUAAUACGGAGGAUCCAAGCGUUAUCCGGAAUCAUUGGGUUUAAAGGGUCCGUAGGCGGUUUUAUAAGUCAGUGGUCAAAUCCGGCAGCUCAACUGUCGAACUGCCAUUGAUACUGUAGAACUUGAAUUAUUGUGAAGUAACUAGAAUAUGUAGUGUAGCGGUGAAAUGCUUAGAUAUUACAUGGAAUACCAAUUGCGAAGGCAGGUUACUAACAAUACAUUGACGCUGAUGGACGAAAGCGUGGGGAGCGAACAGGAUUAGAUACCCUGGUAGUCCACGCCGUAAACGAUGGAUACUAGCUGUUCGGAAGCAAUUCUGAGUGGCUAAGCGAAAGUGAUAAGUAUCCCACCUGGGGAGUACGAACGCAAGUUUGAAACUCAAAGGAAUUGACGGGGGCCCGCACAAGCGGUGGAGCAUGUGGUUUAAUUCGAUGAUACGCGAGGAACCUUACCAGGGCUUAAAUGUAGAGUGACAGGACUGGAAACAGUUUUUUCUUCGGACACUUUACAAGGUGCUGCAUGGUUGUCGUCAGCUCGUGCCGUGAGGUGUCAGGUUAAGUCCUAUAACGAGCGCAACCCCUGUUGUUAGUUGCCAUCGAGUAAUGUCGGGAACUCUAACAAGACUGCCGGUGCAAACCGCGAGGAAGGUGGGGAUGACGUCAAAUCAUCACGGCCCUUACGUCCUGGGCUACACACGUGCUACAAUGGCCGGUACAGAGAGCAGCCACCUGGUGACAGGGAGCGAAUCUAUAAAGCCGGUCACAGUUCGGAUUGGAGUCUGCAACCCGACUCCAUGAAGCUGAAUCGCUAGAAUC